AGAGUUUGAUUCUGGCUCAGAACGAACGCUGGCAGCGUGGAUUAGGCAUGCAAGUCGAACGAGAAGCCCUGGUCUCAAUCUUCGGAGAGAAACCAGGGUGGACAGUGGCGGAAGGGUGAGUAACGCGUGGGCAAUUUGCCUCCGGAUUGGGGACAACUCCGCGAAAGCGGGGCUAAUACCGAAUAUGGUCUCCUGUCGCAUGACGGGAAGAUUAAAGAUGGGGAUUCUUCGGAACCUGUCGUCUGGAGAGGAGCCCGCGUACGAUCAGCUUGUUGGUGAGGUAACGGCUCACCAAGGCUUUGACCGUUAGCCGGCCUGAGAGGGUAUCGGCCACACUGGGACUGAGACACUGCCCAGACUCCUACGGGAGGCUGCAGUCGAGGAUCAUUCGCAAUGCGCGAAAGCGUGACGAUGCGACGCUGCGUGUAGGAUGACGGCCUUCGGGUUGUAAACUACUGUCAUGAGGGAAAAACCAGCGAUGGGACAAUACCCCAUCGCUCUGAUGGUACCUCAAGAGGAAGCCACGGCUAACUCUGUGCCAGCAGCCGCGGUAAUACAGAGGUGGCUAGCGUUGUUCGGAUUUACUGGGCGUAAAGCGUGCGUAGGCGGUUCCGUGUGUCGGGUGUGAAAUCCCACGGCUUACCCGUGGAAUGGCACCCGAAACUGCGGGGCUAGAGUGCAGGAGGGGAGAGCGGAAUUCUUAGUGUAGCGGUGAAAUGCGUUGAUAUUAAGAAGAACACCGGCGGCGAAGGCGGCUCUCUGGAAUGUAACUGACGCUGAGGCACGAAAGUUGGGGGAGCAAACAGGAUUAGAUACCCUGGUAGUCCCAACCGUAAACGGUGUGAACUUGGUGUAGGGGGUAUUGACCCCCCCUGUGCCGGAGCUAACGCGUUAAGUUCACCGCCUGGGGAGUACGGCCGCAAGGCUAAAACUCAAAGAAAUUGACGGGGGCCCGCACAAGCGGAGGAGCAUGUGGCUUAAUUCGAUGCAACGCGAAGAACCUUACCUGGGCUUGACAUGGGGACCCUUCGGGGGUGGUAGCGAAAGUUACCUUUACCAUCACAGGUGCUGCAUGGCUGUCGUCAGUUCGUGCCGUGAGGUGUUUGGUUAAGUCCAGCAACGAACGCAACCCUUGUGACUAGUUACCAGCGUCGGUGAUGAGCCGGCAGGCACUCUAGUCAGACUGCCCGUACAAGCGGGAGGAAGGUGGGGAUGACGUCAAGUCAGUAUGGCCCUUACGCCCAGGGCUGCACACGUGCUACAAUGGUCAGUACAGAAGGAUGCAAAACCGCAAGGUCGAGCAAAUCCCCAAAGCUGGCCCCAGUUCGGAUUGGAGUCUGCAACUCGACUCCAUGAAGUCGGAUUCGCUAGUAACGGCGUAUCAGCUACGACGCCGUGAAUACGUUCCCGGGCCUUGUACACACCGCCCGUCACAUCAUGAAAGCCGUCUGCACCCGAAGUCGCUGAGCCAACCCGCAAGGGAGGCAAGUGCCGAAGGUGUGGGUGGUGAUUGGGAUGAAGUC
This 1523-nucleotide ribosomal RNA is filed under the name metagenome. RNAcentral's name for it is "bacterial SSU rRNA". It matches the Rfam family "Bacterial small subunit ribosomal RNA". The record is from RNAcentral.